Molecule: ribosomal RNA, 654 nt
Filed under: Phaffomyces thermotolerans
Lineage: Eukaryota; Fungi; Ascomycota; Saccharomycetes; Phaffomycetales; Phaffomycetaceae
Description: LSU rRNA
Rfam family: Eukaryotic large subunit ribosomal RNA (bases 69-654)
Source: RNAcentral
UGCACCCCGAAAUAGGCGGCAGCUGUUGAUACAAUUAGCAGCGCACACGCCGCACACACACCAAAAACACCCCCCAGAUCAAACAAGAGUACCCGCUGAACUUAAGCAUAUCAAUAAGCGGAGGAAAAGAAACCAACAGGGAUUGCCUCAGUAACGGCGAGUGAAGCGGCAAGAGCUCAAAUUUGAAAUCGGGGCUUUAUGGCGUCGAGUUGUAGUUUGAAGGGAGGUCUUUGUGGACCGGGUUACCAGCGAUGUUCCUUGGAAGAGGACGCGAGACAAGGUGAAAGCCCUGUAGCUGGUAAAUCCAUACACGUAUAAGGGCCUUCCGAAGAGUCGAGUUGUUUGGGAAUGCAGCUCUAAGUGGGUGGUAAACUCCAUCUAAAGCUAAAUACUAGCGAGAGACCGAUAGCGAACAAGUACAGUGAUGGAAAGAUGAAAAGAACUUUGAAAAGAGAGUGAAAGAGUGCGUGAAAUUGUUGAAAGGGAAGGAUAUUAGGUGAGGCGGGGGCGUGUUGCUGUGCGGAGUUUCUUGUGGACUCUGGUUAAGCGCAUGUCCAGGCCGGUGUGGGUGGUGAGAGGGAGAUGAAGAUGUAUCCUUGAGCGUAGCUCACGAGUGCAGAAAGGCUCCGUUCGCCACCAUGACAGACGACACUU